Seriola aureovittata is the source of this 224-nucleotide long non-coding RNA. RefSeq lists it as uncharacterized. Lineage: Eukaryota; Metazoa; Chordata; Actinopteri; Carangiformes; Carangidae. The transcript is spliced from 3 exons. The record is from RefSeq and is a predicted model, not a curated record.
GGAGUGGUGCGUGUGUGCUAAGAGAGCUACUGUAGAUGUAUAUAUAUGCUGGUCUGCAACACAUGUAAGCCAUAUGUGAACUUUAAGUGAUGAGAAGCAGGAAAUUGGAUGGAGAGGCACAACACGGUCCAAAGCGAGCCGCAUUUGAGCCCAGAUGAGAGUACAUGAAGAAAGAGAGAGAGAAAGAGGAGGAAGAAUCUUCUUGCUUGCCAGUGAGAGAGAGA